AAUGAAAGAAAAAAAUAUUGGUAUUUAAGUCCUCAAAUCAAAAAAAUAAUUAAUAUAAAAAUUGAAGAAUCCGAUGAUGAAGAUAAAGACUUAUCAUUAAUCAUCAAAAUAUUUAAAAACUUUCUGAAGAUGAAGAAGAAGAAGCAAGAAAGGAAAAAAGAGAUCAAAAAAAAUAAAGCUUCAACUAAGAGGGAGCCCCGCA
RNAcentral lists this long non-coding RNA (202 nucleotides) under Elaeis guineensis (African oil palm). Its description in RNAcentral is "long non-coding RNA (EGUI_LNC034417)". The record is from RNAcentral. Lineage: Eukaryota; Viridiplantae; Streptophyta; Magnoliopsida; Arecales; Arecaceae.